This 358-nucleotide ribosomal RNA is filed under the name uncultured bacterium. RNAcentral describes it as "bacterial SSU rRNA". It matches the Rfam family "Bacterial small subunit ribosomal RNA", at positions 445 to 793 of the family's 1533-position model. The record is from RNAcentral.
AGGAAGGUGGGUAUGUUAAUAGCAUAUUCAUUUGACGUUAGCUGCAGAAGAAGCACCGGCUAACUCCGUGCCAGCAGCCGCGGUAAUACGGAGGGUGCGAGCGUUAAUCGGAAUUACUGGGCGUAAAGCGCAUGCAGGUGGUUUGUUAAGUCAGAUGUGAAAGCCCGGGGCUCAACCUCGGAAUUGCAUUUGAAACUGGCAAACUAGAGUACUGUAGAGGGGGUAGAAUUUCAGGUGUAGCGGUGAAAUGCGUAGAGAUCUGAAGGAAUACCGGUGGCGAAGGCGGCCCCCCUGGACAGAUACUGACACUCAGAUGCGAAAGCGUCGGGGAGCAAACAGGAUUACGAUACCCUGGUAG